RNAcentral lists this long non-coding RNA (862 nucleotides) under Ananas comosus (pineapple). Its description in RNAcentral is "long non-coding RNA (ACOM_LNC008432)". The record is from RNAcentral. Lineage: Eukaryota; Viridiplantae; Streptophyta; Magnoliopsida; Poales; Bromeliaceae.
UAUCUCGUCUGUUACUAGUUUCAAAAACAAAAAAGAAAAAAGGCUAAAUUACAAAAAAUCCUUCUUAUUUUAGUCCUGUUGAUGCAACAUAACAAUUAAUCAUUGUUUUUAAUAAUUUUACUUUGUCAAUUUUUUUGUAACUCAAUAACUUACUUACAAAUAGUAGUGUACAAUAAAGAAAAAAAAUUUAAGGAAUAAAUUAUUCUUUCUUUAUCAUUUAUUAUGAGGCAACGUCUUUUAUUAAGUAAAAAUUAAUAAGAUAGAAAGCCGAAGAGAUAACGAUUUUACGGAGAAGGCGAACGGGCAUACUGUGAAGUGAUUAGAGAGUAGCAUUUAAUAAGGAGGAAGCCGAAGAGGCAUCGAUAUUACGGGAAAGGUGAGCAGACAUGUUACAAGAAAGACGAGCAGAUACACAAAGCGAUUGAAGAGUAGAAAUCGGAAAAGAGAGAGACUUUGGAGGUGGGUUCCAUAGGCAAAACUUAAAAAGAACAUGCCAUGUGGACUAAGAUUUUGGAAAUUAAUAGUGUUUUAUAGAUAGAUAUCUAAUCUCACUAGAUUAGGAUCGUGAAAGACUCCUGACGCCCAUGAGUACCUAAUUAAUUAUGCAUUUUUUUUCUUAUAUUUGGAGCACCUAAUUAAUUAUGCAUUUCUUUAAAACAGUGUAAAUUUUAUUUAAAACAGUGUAAUUUUAUUUUAAGAGUGCAAUUCUCAUCAUCUUUUUUCUUCUCCUAUAUUUUUUAAUCUUUUCUAUAAAAAAAUAAUUUUUAUUUUUAUUUUUAUUAUUCUUAUUUUUUUCUAUAAUUUUUUUUUUUUUGUCACCACCUCUUCCUCCCUUGCUUUCUAUCGCAACCACCGCGACGUC